This 494-nucleotide ribosomal RNA is filed under the name uncultured bacterium. RNAcentral's name for it is "partial 16S ribosomal RNA". It matches the Rfam family "Bacterial small subunit ribosomal RNA", at positions 28 to 507 of the family's 1533-position model. The record is from RNAcentral.
GACGAACGCUGGCGGCGCGCUUAACACAUGCAAGUCGAACGGAAAGGCCUGCUUUCCCUUGUGGAUUGCGGGUACUCGAGUGGCGAACGGGUGAGUAACACGUGAGUGAUCUGCCCCCAACUUGGGUAUAAGCCUGGGAAACUGGGUCUAAUUCCCGAUAGGACUGCAGGGUGGUGCCUGUGGUGGAAAACGAUUUUCUAGUGGUUGGGGAUGAGCUCGCGGCCUAUCAGCUUGUUGGUGGGGUAAUGGCCUACCAAGGCGGCGACGGGUAGCCGGCCUGGGAGGGUGGACGGCCACAUUGGGACUGAGAUACGGCCCAGACUCCUACGGGAGGCAGCAGUGGGGAAUAUUGCACAAUGGGCGGAAGCCUGAUGCAGCGACGCCGCGGGGGGGAUGACGGCCUUCGGGUUGUAAACUCCUUUCGACCGCGAGGAAGCCACCUGGUUGGAAGGGUGGUGACGGUAGUGGUAGAAGAAGCACCGGCUAACUACGUG